Molecule: long non-coding RNA, 304 nt
Organism: Pyrgilauda ruficollis (rufous-necked snowfinch)
Lineage: Eukaryota; Metazoa; Chordata; Aves; Passeriformes; Passeridae
Exons: 3
Source: RefSeq, a predicted model, not a curated record
CUUGCAGCCACCAACUCCACACACCUGAUCUUGCAAAUACCUCUGUUUGCUGGGGGACUCAUCUAUGAGGAAGUGUCCUUUCAGAAAAUCAAAGCAAGGUUUGAUGUUGCCUUAAGGAAAGUGAGAACUAUGGAGACCUUACAGAUGUUCUCCAUUAGCUGCAGUUUUAAUUCUUCAGCAUUUAUAAUAUGCCACCCAGAUGGUACCAUAAUGGUAUCUGCCCAAAUGAAGACAGUUCCUGCCAUUGACAUGAGUAAAACCAAGCUCAGGGACAGCUCCUGCAAGCCUAAGGAGUAUAAUGAAG